Long non-coding RNA from Mercurialis annua (annual mercury), 1081 nucleotides. RefSeq lists it as uncharacterized. The record is from RefSeq and is a predicted model, not a curated record. Lineage: Eukaryota; Viridiplantae; Streptophyta; Magnoliopsida; Malpighiales; Euphorbiaceae. The transcript is spliced from 3 exons.
UGCCCAUGAAUGUAUUGCUUAGGCCAUAAUGCUAGGAAGCCCAUCUUUUAAUUAAAUAGCAGAAACCAAUAUUUUGAAUUGCAGUGUUAGUGUUGCUGCGUUUUUUUUCCUUUUCUUUUCAUUCUUUUUCUUUUCCCUAUUUAUAAAACCUAUUUAUGAAACAUCUUAACCCUAGCCGACUAUCACCUCAAAAUCACCCAAACCCUUACUCUCAUGAAUCUUCUUCUCAUUCUAUGCAGAUUUGCAUCUUGGGAGUUCGUCCUCAUUCUCAAUCUAUUCAAAUAAAUCUCUGGAUCCGGCAAGGCGCAAUCAUUCAUCGUUCACGAAUUGGAGUCGAACCAGGGUUAGCUGUUUGCCAAGAUUCACGUGGAUAAGCAAGCAGUGAGUUUGUAGUGCUAUUUACCGCUUUAUUAAGUAAAUUGUUAUUUUAAUAUUAAAUAUAUAUACUGUACGUAUAUUUCGAACUGUUUUUAUAUUAUGGCUCUUAGUUGGAACGUGCUACCUAAUGGGCAUCAUUAGGACUGCGAGCGCACCGGUAUUGAUCUGGGUAAGGUAUAUAUGGAAAUGUGGUAACUCGGUGUGAGCAUAGCUCUCGGGACCAGGUAGAGUAACUCGGUGUAGCUCAGCUCUCGGGACUCUGGUAUAAGUGUGGUCAGUGGUAACUCGGUGUAGCUCAGCUCUCGGGACUAGACCUAUUGGAUUAUGAAUAUUAUUUAGAAUUGUGGAUUAGGGUUCCAACUAUUAUCUGUAAUAUUGUUAUUAAAUGUUUUAAACGUUUUAAAGGUUUUCCACUUAAUAAAUGUAAAUAGUGGUAUGAACUCAUCUCAGUAUAUCUGACCCCGUUGUUUUCCCAAUUUUUCCCAGGGUUAUGAUCUGAGAGAGUCUGGUGAUCUCCGCAUUUACUUUUCCUCGGAGGUUCCAUUUAUUUUGAUAAACUGUCAAACUAUUUUAUUCUUAGACCGCAGUAGUUGACUAGACGUCUUAUUAUUAUUACAGUUGUUUGUCGGAUUGAUCUGACUAGUUAUAUUGCUCUGGCAUGUUAUGUAGUUAUUUCGGAUUAUUUAUGUUAUGCCUAUUUUUA